GUUUGGCACCUCGAUGUCGGCUCAUCGCAUCCUGGGGCUGUAGUCGGUCCCAAGGGUUGGGCUGUUCGCCCAUUAAAGCGGUACGCGAGCUGGGUUCAGAACGUCGUGAGACAGUUCGGUCCCUAUCCGUCGUGGGCGUAGGAAAUUUGAGAGGAGCUGUCCUUAGUACGAGAGGACCGGGAUGGACAUACCUCUGGUGUACCAGUUGUCGUGCCAACGGCAUAGCUGGGUAGCUAUGUAUGGACGGGAUAAGUGCUGAAAGCAUCUAAGCAUGAAGCCCCCCUCAAGAUGAGAUUUCCCAACUUCGGUUAUAAGAUCCCUCGAAGAUGACGAGGUUAAUAGGUUCGAGGUGGAAGCGUGGUGACACGUGGAGCUGACGAAUACUAAUCGAUCGAAGAC
This 399-nucleotide ribosomal RNA is filed under the name Burkholderia sp. 9775_39. Its description in RNAcentral is "partial 23S ribosomal RNA". It matches the Rfam family "Bacterial large subunit ribosomal RNA", at positions 2516 to 2925 of the family's 2925-position model. The record is from RNAcentral. Lineage: Bacteria; Pseudomonadati; Pseudomonadota; Betaproteobacteria; Burkholderiales; Burkholderiaceae.